RNAcentral lists this ribosomal RNA (460 nucleotides) under uncultured bacterium. Its description in RNAcentral is "partial 16S ribosomal RNA". It matches the Rfam family "Bacterial small subunit ribosomal RNA", at positions 338 to 795 of the family's 1533-position model. The record is from RNAcentral.
CCUACGGGUGGCAGCAGUGAGGAAUAUUGGUCAAUGGGCGCGAGCCUGAACCAGCCAAGCCGCGUGAAGGAGGACUGUCCUGCGGGUUGUAAACCUCUUUUAUCAAGGAAUAAAGUGAGGCACGUGUCCCUUUUUGUAUGUACUUUAUGAAUAAGGAUCGGCUAACUCCGUGCCAGCAGCCGCGGUAAUACGGAGGAUCCGAGCGUUAUCCGGAUUUAUUGGGUUUAAAGGGUGCGUAGAUGGGUUGUUAAGUCAGUGGUGAAAGGUUGCGGCUCAACCGUCAGACUGCAAUUGAUACUGGCAGUCUUGAGUACAGUUGAGGUAGGCGGAAUGCGUGGUGUAGCGGUGAAAUGCUUAGAUAUCACGAAGAACUCCGAUUGCGAAGGCAGCUUACUGACCUGACACUGACGUUGAUGCUCGAAAGUGUGGGUAUCAAACAGGAUUAGAUACCCGUGUAGUC